CAGACCUCUAAUCGGAAAAGGCCACCCGCUGAGUUUAA
This 38-nucleotide ribosomal RNA is filed under the name Prionodon densus. RNAcentral describes it as "partial 26S ribosomal RNA". Lineage: Eukaryota; Viridiplantae; Streptophyta; Bryopsida; Hypnales; Prionodontaceae. The record is from RNAcentral.